AACACGUGGGUAACCCACCUAGGGGACCGGGAUAACGGCUCGAAAGGGCCGCUAAUACCGGAUACGCUCCCGGGGGCACAAGCCUCGGGGAGGAAAGGUCGCGCAAGCAGCCACUCCUGGACGGGCCCGCGGCCCAUUAGCUAGUUGGCGGGGUAACGGCCCACCAAGGCAAUGAUGGGUAGCCGGUCUGAGAGGAUGACCGGCCACACGGGGACUGAGACACGGCCCCGACUCCUACGGGAGGCAGCAGUGGGGAAUCUUCCGCAAUGGGCGAAAGCCUGACGGAGCGACGCCGCGUG
This 299-nucleotide ribosomal RNA is filed under the name uncultured bacterium. RNAcentral describes it as "partial 16S ribosomal RNA". It matches the Rfam family "Bacterial small subunit ribosomal RNA", at positions 112 to 403 of the family's 1533-position model. The record is from RNAcentral.